Long non-coding RNA from Arabidopsis thaliana (thale cress), 243 nucleotides. RefSeq annotates it as other RNA. The transcript has a single exon. The record is from RefSeq. Lineage: Eukaryota; Viridiplantae; Streptophyta; Magnoliopsida; Brassicales; Brassicaceae.
AUCUCUCUCACUCACUUUCUCAGCUCCUCUCUCUUUGGUUCGUUACUUCGUUACAUAUGCAAACUAUUCACGUGCAGCACGUGAUAAAGAAAGCUAGUGGCACCUAGACUAACCUUUAAGACUUGAGCUCCGUUCUUGAGCCACGAGCCUCGUCGGAGACAUCGGAUCCAACAGUAUAUUCUUGAAGAAGGUUCUUGGGUUCUUAUCUGCACGCGUUUCCAUGCCCUCAAUAAUAAUACUCAA